Molecule: long non-coding RNA, 331 nt
Organism: Engraulis encrasicolus (European anchovy)
Lineage: Eukaryota; Metazoa; Chordata; Actinopteri; Clupeiformes; Engraulidae
Exons: 3
Source: RefSeq, a predicted model, not a curated record
GGUUUACAUGCCCUCUCUGGUAUGACGUCUAUCCUCGUUAUCGGUUUCCCACAGGUCUGUCGUGUUCUGAGAGGGAACAUACGUUAGGCUACUGUUUCCUUUUCUAUUAUUUUUGUGAUCUGGUGCUAGGCCUAGGCCUACUGCUGUUUUCAUUAUUAUAACCGGAGGGUGACAGCAGCCGAUAUGCAUUCGCUUCCUUUAUCACUGUCAGGUCUACUUUUGUGCACCACCGUGGUCACAACUUACCAUAGCUACUGGGAAAAUGACAUCUUUAGUUAUACUCAGGAAGUAUGCAGUGGCCAAUCUUUCGUCAUUCAAUUUGGUGGUGGCU